UACGUAGGUGGCAAGCGUUGUCCGGAAUUAUUGGGCGUAAAGAGCUCGUAGGCGGUCUGUCGCGUCUGUUGUGAAAGCCCGGGGCUUAACCCCGGGUCUGCAGUGGAUACGGGCAGGCUAGAGGCAGGUAGGGGAGAACGGAAUUCCCGGUGUAGCGGUGAAAUGCGCAGAUAUCGGGAGGAACACCGGUGGCGAAGGCGGUUCUCUGGGCCUGUACUGACGCUGAGGAGCGAAAGCGUGGGGAGCGAACAGG
This 253-nucleotide ribosomal RNA is filed under the name uncultured bacterium. RNAcentral describes it as "partial 16S ribosomal RNA". It matches the Rfam family "Bacterial small subunit ribosomal RNA", at positions 524 to 776 of the family's 1533-position model. The record is from RNAcentral.